This is a long non-coding RNA of Ostrea edulis (European flat oyster), 2955 nucleotides long. RefSeq lists it as uncharacterized. Lineage: Eukaryota; Metazoa; Mollusca; Bivalvia; Ostreida; Ostreidae. The record is from RefSeq and is a predicted model, not a curated record. The transcript is spliced from 2 exons.
AGGAUAUUUUUUUAGAUUAUUAUUUCUGAUAUCAUAUUUGUAAAUUGUUUAUGAGGGGUUGUUAAAAGUUUGUGGACAAAAGGACGCACUUAUUAAAAAUUCAGAGUUAUCGUAAGUGAAAAAUAUAGGAGAUGUGUAACAAGAUUGUAUAUUUGAAGAUUUUAAUUUUAAUUAAUUUUUAUAAGUAUUGAUUUCAGAUACAUGUAUGACAUUGCAUGCUUGGUGGGGUGGGGGGGGGGGGCUACAGUUAGAUAAUAUUCUGGUCAGCACAUUCGAUAAACUACUUGGAAUUCAUUAAAUCACUUCUUUUUCUUUCAGUGGUCUUCAACUUUUAAUCUCCAAGAAGGAAAUGUAAUUAAAAGAUGAAUAAAGUAUCCCUAAGAAUACCAGAAGAAAGGCUAUGUGUUGAGAAAAACAGCCCUUCCUCAGUACCUCAGAACUAGAUGAUAGCCCUUAAUUGUUACUUUAUGCUCAAUAUGACACAGUAUAGAAGAUCUGAUCAUGAAGAAGUAACACCAUUGAUACACUUGCCAACUGCCAAAAUUACUUUCUGAUAGUAUGACGAGAUUAGAAGAUAUGGUGUAGUCAUGACACAAACUGCAAAUCAAAGAAUUAAUUGUCUUCCCCAGAGGAUGAACAGAGCACGAUGGCUUCACAUGGAUAACAUUUCCUUUCGAGUUUUGAAAUUAAUUUGUCAGAAUGUUAUGCAUCGUUAUCAACAGAAAAGAACUUCAUAGGUAGACCAAAGUUGACAUGGGAUGAGAUCCUAGAACAAGACCUAGAGUUUACAGGAUUGGAUAGGAUCAAUCCACUGGGUCGCCAAGUGUGGAAGUACAAACUUCAACCUCGACAGGACAGCCAGGCCUCACCCUUGCAAAAAGAUUAAUUUGGCCUGGAUAGUCAAAAUGAGUGAUGAUGAUUGAUAUCAAGGUCUGACACUGGAAGCUCAGUAAGGGUAGAUGCUGGCAAUGGAGCUGUUUAGCAAUAAAACAAACAAGUUUAACAUUAAACAUGUUUGUAUACUUUUUUGGCUCACCUGAGCCAAAGGCUCAAGUGAGCUUUUCUGAUCACCUUUGCCUGUCGUCUGUCUGUUUAUAAACUUUUCACAUUUUCAUUUUCUUCUCCAGAGUGAACCACUGGGCCAGUUUCAAUCAAACUUGGUAUGCAUCAUCAAUAGAUAAAGGGUAUUCAAGUUUGUUCAUAUAAAGGGUCAUGCACCCUUCAAAAAGGAAAUAAUCAUGGAAAUGCAAAAAUAGGGUGGGGUCAUUUAAAAAACCUUUUCAAGAACCACUGGACCAGGAAAGUUGAAUUCACACGAAAGGUUCCUGUUUUGUGCAAAUCAUGGUCUCUGGGGUUAGGGUGGGGUCACAAUAGAGAAUCAAAGUUUUACAUUCAUAUAUAGUGCAUAUUCAAGUUUGUAAAAAGCUCACAGGGGUAGGGUGGGGGUCACAUAGGGGAUUUAAGUUUUACAUGUGAAAUAUAUACAAGGAAAAUCUUUUAAAAUCUUCUCCUCAAAAACUAGAUGCAGAACCGUAGCUCUUUGAAAAGAGAGCUUCAGAUGAACCCCUUAUAAAAAAAACUUCAAUUUAUGGCAGAGAAAAAAAGUGCAUGUUUAAGUCCCUCUAUCACUGCAUUCCUGCAUCGCUGUCUCAUGAAUUUAAUAUUAAGUAAUUCCCAACAUAUUUUCCCACUAUACUUGUUUCCAAACAUACUUUCAAAUAUUUUCUAAACCCACAUAUAACCCCAAAACAGCUUCAAGUGAUUUCAAUUUCUUUGUUGAUGUAGCCAUGUUAAGUAGCCAGUCAAUUUGAACCCCAGUUCAUUUCCAUACUCAUACUCAUUUUGAAACAUAAUGUCUGUGUGAACUAAUAUCCUCACAAAUAUUUUUAGUGAAAUAUUUUGGAUGAAAUCAUCCCAGUUGGGUUAAAUACUUAUUAUUCAAAUACUGUAGGUUUGAAUAUUGAACUAAUCUCACAGCUUUCUUAAGUUUGGUCCCCAUCCCCACCAGUCUGUUUUUACGCUUAACUAUUGAAAUGGGGUGUAAGGGAUCAGACUAGGCUCCUCAACAAGAUGAAAGGUUUUAUCAUAAGAAAUUCAUAAUAUCACCUCUGGUUGGCGCGGGUUUGAAUCCUGCUCGCACCGGUAAUUGAGAAAGUUUCCCAGUUUACUCUCGGAAGGUCGGUGGUCUCUUCCCAGGUACAUUGUAUCUGGGUUCUCUCUUCCACCAAUAAAAACUGGGCACCACCAGAUAACUGAAAAAUUGUUGAGUGAGGCGGAAAACAGUUAAAACAAUCAAUCAUAUUAUGUUAUUUGACCUUGUGACCCUGAACUCUGAGUUUGACAUACUUUUAAGAAAGUAUAACGUAUUAAGUAUAUCCAGGACUAUUUUAGAUAGGGCUUUUAUGUUUUGUAUAUUGAUUACUUAUGGCAAGGUCUUUCAUAUCAUACCAAGACCUACGACUUUUUACCUUGGUCUUAUCCAGAACAGCAAUAUCAUGCUAGUCAUAUCUUUGUCUUAUAUGAUUUCAUUUUAGUAAUGUUGUGUUCUUUAGAGCUAGGUUUGGGUCACAUUAUUCAUGAGAAUAAAGAUUGAUAAAAUAGCAUUUAAAAAUCAAAACAGCAGGGCCAAGAUGACUCAGGUGAGCGAUGUGGCCCAUGGGCCUCUUGUUGAUUUUGAUAUUUCUACCUAUAUCAUUUGUAUGAGAAAUGGAACUCCUUUUUUUCUUUUACAAAUACAUGUAUUAUCAUAUGGAUCCAUCUUUGUUGAUUAUUUAAUCAAAGGACAUAUUCAAUGUAUUAAAUGUAAAUUUAUGGAUAUGUCUGUGGUUGAAUUACUUAUGUAUGUAUGUAUACAUUUUUUUCGCACAUGCAAUUACAUAUAUGAUGUAUAUAUAUUUACUAAUUGUACAUGUAAUAUCCCCUGUUAUAUAAUAAAAUAUAUGACUGAGAAUAAAA